GCGGGAGUAGCUCAGGGGUAGAGCAUCUGCUUCCCAAGCAGAAUGUCGCGGGUUCAAAUCCCGUCUCCCGCUCCA
RNAcentral lists this transfer RNA (75 nucleotides) under Chloroflexota bacterium. RNAcentral describes it as "Chloroflexi bacterium tRNA-Gly". It matches the Rfam family "tRNA". From Rfam's summary of the family: Transfer RNA (tRNA) molecules are approximately 80 nucleotides in length. RNAcentral also lists the same sequence under 1 other name. The record is from RNAcentral. Lineage: Bacteria; Bacillati; Chloroflexota.